Molecule: non-coding RNA, 94 nt
Organism: Mucidula mucida
Lineage: Eukaryota; Fungi; Basidiomycota; Agaricomycetes; Agaricales; Physalacriaceae
Source: the annotation of a GenBank genome assembly
CCGGAAUUGGUGCAACGGCUAACAUUUGCGCCUCUCAUGGGUAAGCAAAGCGGUUAGUUCGCGCUAGCUCGGAGUUCGAUUCCCCGUUUCCGAA